GAUGAACGCUGGCGGCGUGCCUAAUACAUGCAAGUCGAGCGAACGGACGAGAAUCUUGCUUCGCUGAUGUUAGCGGCGGACGGGUAAGUAACACGUGGAUUACCUACCUAUAAGACUGGGAUAACGUCGAGAAGCCGGAGCUAAUACCGUAUGAUCUUUUGUACCGCAUGGUUCAAAAGUGAAAGACCGUCUUGCGUUCACGUAUAGAUGGAUCCGCGCUUCAUUAGCUAGUUGGUAAGGUAACGGCUUACCAAGGCAACGAUGCAUAGCCGACCUGAGAGGAUGAUCGGCCACACUGGAACUGAGACACGGUCCAGACUCCUACGGGAGGCAGCAGUAGGGAAUCUUCCGCAAUGGGCGAAAGCCUGACGGAGCAACGCCGCGUGAGUGAUGAAGGUCUUCGGAUCGUAAAACUCUGUUAGUAGGGAAGAAGAUAUGUGUAAGUAAAUGUGCACAUAUUGACGGUACCUAAUCAGAAAGCCCCGGCUAACUACGUG
This 497-nucleotide ribosomal RNA is filed under the name uncultured bacterium. Its description in RNAcentral is "partial 16S ribosomal RNA". It matches the Rfam family "Bacterial small subunit ribosomal RNA", at positions 28 to 507 of the family's 1533-position model. The record is from RNAcentral.